CCUACGGGAGGCAGCAGUCGAGAAUCAUUCACAAUGGGGGAAACCCUGAUGGUGCGACGCCGCGUGGGGGAAUGAAGGUCUUCGGAUUGUAAACCGCUGUCAUGUGGGGGCAAAUUAAAAAGAUAGUACCACAAGAGGAAGAGACGGCUAACUCUGUUCCAGCAGCCGCGGUAAUACAGAGGUCUCAAGCGUUGUUCGGAAUCAUUGGGCGUAAGGGGUGCGUAGGCUGUUUCGUAAGUCGUGUGUGAAAGGCGCGGGCUGAAACCGCGGACGGAACAUGAUACUGCGAGACUAGAGAAAUGGAGGGGGAGCCGGAAUGUUCGGUGUAGCAGUGAAAUGCGUAGAUAUC
RNAcentral lists this ribosomal RNA (349 nucleotides) under uncultured bacterium. Its description in RNAcentral is "partial 16S ribosomal RNA". It matches the Rfam family "Bacterial small subunit ribosomal RNA", at positions 338 to 698 of the family's 1533-position model. The record is from RNAcentral.